GGAUUCCCAUUUUUUCAUAAAAAUGGGGAUUAGAGCAGUUUAGAGCAGUUUUGGACUUGGAUUGGAUAGCAUGCGUGGAUGGCAUAUGGGCUGAACGUUUUGGUGUUUAAAAGGUGUUAAACAUGUGCUAAAAUCUGGAGAAAUUAAAGUUGAGGCUCGGAAGGCAAGGAAUUACACAAGAAAAAUGAAUCCUAGUUGGAGAGAAGUUGUUACUUGUUUUGAAGUCCAAAUAAAGAAACAAAGAUGAAUUUGGCUUGUUAGACGACCAGGAAUAGAAUGGGAAAGGAAUUGGGAUAUCUAGCCUGAUUUGGAGGUGCCAAAUAAGGCAAAAACGUGAAAAAUAAAGGCUAAGUUGCUGGGAUCACUUUGGAAUAUCUUGCAGCCUCUUUCACCCCAUAAAAAGUUGCCUUUUUGCCACUUUUACAUGCCCUUUUUAUUCUAGGUGAAUUACCUAAUUCUGAUUACCUAUUUUCCUCUGUUUUCAUUCACUCUAAAGAAAACCCUAGCCAUGCCAUAUAUAUAUAUAUAUAUAUGAAGUGUUCUACAAUGUUGAAGGGUGUGCCGUGCCUACCAUUCGUCCAUUGAAGUUGCUAGAAUUUUUAGAGUUCUUUAUCUUUUUGUUUUAAGUUUCAAUGUUUAUUUUAGAUUGCUUUUCAGUUAUGAUGAACAUGUGUAACUAAGUUUCUUUUUAGCUAGAGGUGAAUUCGAAGCCAUGAUCAUAUGUUUUAUAUAAAUUGAUUACAUCUUGUUAUUGUU
RNAcentral lists this small RNA (756 nucleotides) under Malus domestica (apple). RNAcentral's name for it is "sRNA MD01G0033200". Lineage: Eukaryota; Viridiplantae; Streptophyta; Magnoliopsida; Rosales; Rosaceae. The record is from RNAcentral.